UAAACCUUAAGUUAAUAAAACUAUAGGCCUUCAAAGCUUAAAAAAGCAAAAGCUAGGUUUAA
Molecule: transfer RNA, 62 nt
Filed under: Crangonyx forbesi
Lineage: Eukaryota; Metazoa; Arthropoda; Malacostraca; Amphipoda; Crangonyctidae
Description: tRNA-Trp
Source: RNAcentral